RNAcentral lists this ribosomal RNA (465 nucleotides) under uncultured Klebsiella sp. RNAcentral describes it as "bacterial SSU rRNA". It matches the Rfam family "Bacterial small subunit ribosomal RNA", at positions 338 to 795 of the family's 1533-position model. Lineage: Bacteria; Pseudomonadati; Pseudomonadota; Gammaproteobacteria; Enterobacterales; Enterobacteriaceae. The record is from RNAcentral.
CCUACGGGGGGCUGCAGUGGGGAAUAUUGCACAAUGGGCGCAAGCCUGAUGCAGCCAUGCCGCGUGUGUGAAGAAGGCCUUCGGGUUGUAAAGCACUUUCAGCGGGGAGGAAGGCGUUAAGGUUAAUAACCUUGGCGAUUGACGUUACCCGCAGAAGAAGCACCGGCUAACUCCGUGCCAGCAGCCGCGGUAAUACGGAGGGUGCAAGCGUUAAUCGGAAUUACUGGGCGUAAAGCGCACGCAGGCGGUCUGUCAAGUCGGAUGUGAAAUCCCCGGGCUCAACCUGGGAACUGCAUUCGAAACUGGCAGGCUAGAGUCUUGUAGAGGGGGGUAGAAUUCCAGGUGUAGCGGUGAAAUGCGUAGAGAUCUGGAGGAAUACCGGUGGCGAAGGCGGCCCCCUGGACAAAGACUGACGCUCAGGUGCGAAAGCGUGGGGAGCAAACAGGAUUAAAUACCCGGGUAGUC